UAAACAUGUCGAAAUGACGGACGAAUCUUUAAACAAUUUUAAAAAUUAAUGAAAUAAUUGUGUAGAAAUAUGAAUUUCACUAAAUGUUAAUAACUUUGUGACGUUUUAGUUAACAGACUAAUAAAAAUUUGAAAAUACUAUAUAUAGUGGUAUAACGUAAUGAGUAGACACAAUAUAUAGGAAGAAGGGGUAAAAUGAAUCAAAUCGAAGAAGCAUUAACGGGUUUGAUUUCUAAAGAUCCUGCUAUUGUUAACGAAAAUGC
RNAcentral lists this small RNA (262 nucleotides) under Staphylococcus aureus. RNAcentral's name for it is "HMPRNC0000_2935". The record is from RNAcentral. Lineage: Bacteria; Bacillati; Bacillota; Bacilli; Caryophanales; Staphylococcaceae.